This 468-nucleotide ribosomal RNA is filed under the name uncultured bacterium. Its description in RNAcentral is "partial 16S ribosomal RNA". It matches the Rfam family "Bacterial small subunit ribosomal RNA", at positions 28 to 507 of the family's 1533-position model. The record is from RNAcentral.
GAUGAACGCUGGCGGCGUGCUUAACACAUGCAAGUCGAACGGAAAGGCCCUUCCUUGGAGGGGUGCUCGAGUGGCGAACGGGUGAGUAACACGUGGGUGACCUGCCCUGCACUUUGGGAUAACCCUGGGAAACUGGGUCUAAUACCGGAUAGGAGCAUGUGCUGCAUGCUGUGGUGGAGAAAGUUUCGGUGGGGGGGGAUCUCCCCGCGUCUUAUCAGCUUGUUGGUGGGGUAGUGGCCUACCGAGGGAUGGAGGGGUCGCCGGGCUGAGAAGGUGACCGGCCACAUUGGGACUGAGAGACGGCCCAGACUACUACGGGAGGCAGCAGGGGGGAAUAGUGGACAAUGGGCGGAAGCCUGAUGCAGCAACGCCGAGUGGGGGAUGACGGCCUUCGGGUUGUAAACAGCUUUCGCUAGGGACGAAGCGUAAGUGACGGUACCUGGUAAAGAAGCACCGGCUAACUACGUG